CCUACGGGAGGCAGCAGUGGGGAAUAUUGCUCAAUGGGCGCAAGCCUGAUGCAGCAACGCCGCGUGAAGGAAGACGGCUCUCGGAUUGUAAACUUCUGUUCUUAGUGAAGAAUAAUGACGGUAACUAAGGAGCAAGCCACGGCCAAAUACGUGCCAGCAGCCGCGGUAAUACGUAGGUUGCAAGCGUUGUCCGGAAUUACUGGGUGUAAAGGGAGCGUAGGCGGGAAGCCAAGUCAGCUGUGAAAACUACGGGCUUAACCUCUAGACUGCAGUUGAAACUGGCUUUCUUGAGUGAAGUAGAGGUAGGCGGAAUUCCGGGUGUAGCGGUGAAAUGCGUAGAUAUUCGGAGGAACACCGGUGGCGAAGGCAGCCAACUGGGCUUUAACUGACGCUGAGGCUCGAAAGUGUGGGGAGCAAACAGGAUUAGAUACCCUGGUAGUC
RNAcentral lists this ribosomal RNA (441 nucleotides) under uncultured bacterium. RNAcentral describes it as "partial 16S ribosomal RNA". It matches the Rfam family "Bacterial small subunit ribosomal RNA", at positions 338 to 795 of the family's 1533-position model. The record is from RNAcentral.